UACGAAGGGGGCUAGCGUUGUUCGUCAUCAUUGGUCGUCACGCGCACGUAGGCGGUCUGUUAUGUCGGAUGUGAAAGCCCUCGGCUCAACUGAGGAAGUGCAUCCGAAACUGGCAGGCUAGAGUACUAAAGAGGGUCGCGGAAUUCCCGGUGUAGAGGUGAAAUUCGUAGAUAUCGGGAGGAACACCGGUGGCGAAGGCGGCGACCUGGGUAGAUACUGACGCUGAGGUGCGAAAGCGUGGGGAGCAAACAGG
RNAcentral lists this ribosomal RNA (253 nucleotides) under uncultured bacterium. RNAcentral's name for it is "partial 16S ribosomal RNA". It matches the Rfam family "Bacterial small subunit ribosomal RNA", at positions 524 to 776 of the family's 1533-position model. The record is from RNAcentral.